UCCUCCAUCCAUGGCCAGUAUCAACAAUGGACUUUGCCAUCAGAAACGUGCACGAUUACCUCCUUCCAAUCAAAAUGAAAACCAGAAUCCAGUGGAUUACAUCAGCCAAUUGCCCAAUGACAUAAUCGCUCAUAUUUUCUCCUUCUUGACUACAAAAGAUGCCGUCAAAACUAGCGUCUUGUCCAAGCAAUGGCGUUCCACUUGGACCUCUAAUCAGUACAUGAGUUUCUCUCUGCCCCCUGGCAGUAGCUGGAAUCCCAAGAGCUUCAUCGCUUUUGUUGACUCAGUGCUGUUACGCUGCACUGCAAUUCAGGUGAAAAGAUUUCUCUUUGAUGCUCCUUACCUUGCCUUCAUGCAGUCAAGUCUUGAUACGUGGCUCCAGUUUGCCAUCAUGCAUGACGUUGAAGAGGUAUCGAUAACCCCACAUUAUUGGCAUUACAACAUUUAUGCGUUGCCGCAAAUCUUGUUCCUCUGCACCACACUAGUGAGUUUGUGCGUGUCCCAAUGCUGUUUUUCGGUGUUCAGUGCCGUGAAUUGGUGUUCGCUGAAGAUAUUGCGCAUUGAAUAUGCGGAGUUAAACGAUGAGGGAAUGGUGAGAGUUUUUAGUGGCAGCCCUGUUCUAGAGUUCCUUGAGUUGAAAAGUUGCCAGGGCGUCAAGCACAUAAUGGUUGAAUCAAAAAGUUUUAGAGAGUUGGUGAUUGAUUCUCAUGAGUUUCGUCCUGGUCAAGGUUUGAUGUUGAAAAUUUGGGCUCCUCGUCUUCUCAAAUUGCGCCUAUUGGGCAAUUCUCAAGGGGGAGACUUUAGUCUAGAUGAAGUAUCUUCCUUGAUUGAGGCCGAGUUAAAUUUUAACAUGGAAAUUUGUGCACUCGAUAAGGUUAAGGCUCGUGCCGAUCUUGUCAAGGGGCUUCUCAAGAGACUGCAUCAUGUCAUGAAAUUAGUGAUGGGAAGCUGGUGCCUUCAGGUGCGAGCCGAUUCUUUAGCCCUAUUAUUCCUGGUUCAAGUUGCGGACGUGCAUUACACAUUCUGCCAUUUGCUUAGGAUAAAUCGUGAGAUUGUUUAUUGGUGCUUGAUGAUACCAUGCUCAUAAAUUGUUAUUUCAGAGAAACUUUUUCACCUUAUCAACGGGAUGUUUGCUGGAUGAGGCUUUUUUCCUUUUCAUAAAAGAACUUUACACACCUAAGCUGAUAUCACCUUUAUGGGUCCAGCAUUAUAUUGACUUUGAUAAGACUAAAAUCUGAUAUCCUUGUUUGCUCAUUCGUUUGGUCUGUUGGCUAUUGUGAGAGGUUUUUGGAAUUGCAAGCAUGUCUUACGUUUAAUCUUCUUUAGUGCUUAAAGAAAGUAAAGUGAUCAGUUUCUGCUUCUUCCACCACGAUGAUGUGCUUAGGCGCUGUCGCUAAUGGGGGCGAGAGAUAUGUUUCUUCCAUCCUUAGAAUGUCGGCAUCUGAUAUUACUCAGCACAGCAGGCCAUAAGAGAGUUCCGGAGGCUAUAGCAAAAAUACUUGAAAGUACGCGGCUUUUGGAGAAGUUAUUCAUACAAAUGACUUGCACACCCAAUUCUGCGGUACACGACUGCUAGAACCCUCUCAGUUCACUGGGUUAAUUUAACACCAGAUUUGCUUGAACAUAUACAGAUUGUGAAUUUUAGCCUUGGGCUGCAUAUAAACCUGUCAUUUCUUUUCUUCUUGUGAUUGAAAAUCAUUUUUGUACCUGUCUAUUUAAUUGACAUUUUGGAUUCUCAAUAGAUUUAUAUUUCUCUUGGUGUUGUAAAUGCUAUAUUAUACUCUCAGAGCUCGAUAUUUGUCUCAUCUAGUUCCAAAUGUGUAUCUCCUCAUUAGUCAUGAUGUUGUACAUCUGCAGAUUGGGUUGAAGGCGGAGAGGGCAGGCUGUCGCGUCUUUGCUGGAGAAGAAUUUUGGAAUUUGGUAAAGUGGAGGAUCUAUCAGUGUUUGAUGCAUCUCAGGCAUGUUGAGAUUGUUGAUGGCGGUGCCAGUCUGCUGGCAUGGGAACCUGUUCUUUCUCUCCUCAAGUUUCUCCUCCAGAAUGCACUUUGGCUGGACAAAAUAGUGAUCAACAGUACCAAUUCCAAAUCAUCCCAAGCAUUUGAACCAUCACCCCAGCUUGAAGUGGGCCGGAUUCUUCUGUCGCACCCAAAGUGUUCUCCAAGCGCCAAGGUCAUUCUUAGAUAUCCUUUCCAAGGAUGUCCGUCUGUGUAAAUCCUGAUCAUUUCGUCAACACCGGUGACUUCUUUUUCUCCUUUUUGUACCCCUGAAUUUUAGCUUGACAUUUUCAGGAGAUGUAAUUGUAUGUACCUGUCGCAAAUUAACCGAUUCGUUCUGACGUGUCGUUCUUCUUUUCUUUUUGUGGUGGUAGAACUUUCAGUCCUCUUACUGGGAGAAAGCAUGCUAUAUAAAGCUGAUAUUGCAUAGCAUGCUUGCGUGGUGUCAUCAAUGAACUGAAUAUCCUUAUUUAGUUUACUUUCGAAGAUAAUGAAGGGAAAAUUACCAAAAAUGUUCUAACUCUAUAGAACUUGUGUCAAUUUAGUAAUAAACUUUUUAAUUUGGCCAAUUUAGUUAUAAAACUAUUAAAAAAUUUGUCAAUAUAGUCCAUCCGGUCAAUUUUGACAAGAAAUUAUUGGUAUUGAUAUAGCACGGCUUGCAUUUACGUGAACAAAUCUUUUAAUAUUUUUUUGAAUUUUUAAUUAAUUUUAAUAUAAUUUUAUAAAUAUAUAUAUUUAUUUUUUCUUUUUCUUUUUCCUUCUUCCUCUGCCAAUCAUUGGACUUUGACAUUGGCUGGCAACCGGGCACAAGUGACUGGUGAGGGUCACCCUUAUCGGUCUCAAGCAACAUCGCCUAGAUGGGUGCUGCUUGGAAGUGACCUGGAUUCUUCUAUCAUACCCAAAGUGUUCUCCAAGCAUGAAGGCCAUUCUUAGGUAUCUGUUCCAAGGAUGUUCGUUUAAACGUGUGCAUAAGUACUGAUGUUUUCAUUAACCCCUGAGUUUUGGCUUAACAUCCACGGGACAUGUGAUUGAAUGCGUUAGAAAUAUUUAGGUAUCUCCCAUAGAUACUUUGGAUGUUUCUUAUGAUUUUCCAUAUCUAUUUUGGUGUCAAAAUUUAUAGAAAUUCUAACUUGGUAUCAAAAGCAAGGCAGUGCUAUUCCACUUAUGAUUUUCCAUAUCUAUUUUGGUGUCAAAAUUUAUAGAAAUUCUAACUUGGUAUCAAAAGCAAGGCAGUGCUAUUCCUUUCGUGGAAUGUGCAUCACCCCCAUUAGUCAAAAUUCCACGCCAAGCGAAGAUACUUGAAAUAAAAACUCCCUUUCUGUUUGUUCAACUAGAAACUUUUAGCUCAGCUUAAUAUUAUUUCAUGAAGUUACAACAAGUCAGUCUCGAAAAGCAGCUAGUAAGGUUGAUUACCUAAAUGAACAGCAGAGGUUCACAAACCCUCACUCUUGCCUUGUACCAACAUUCCAAAAGUUUUAUGAAGCACAUUAUCCUUUGAAAAAUACUCUCUGUGUGCACUGAACUAGAAGAAGCCACAAUCUCACUCAAAGAUUCAUGGAAGUACAAGAGUUGGAUUAUGGUUGUAGGAUUUAUCUGUCAUAAAAGAACAAGUUUGUUGGUAAAAGGUUGUGAUUAAGUUACUAACAUUUUUCUACCAAAAAAAAAAAUACUAAUUUUUAUUUGAUUAUUUCUGAAUUUUCAACUUCUGCAAUAAGUUAUCAAAAUUUAUUUACAUAAUUUGCAGUUUUAGAGUUAUAUCUCCACUAUGGUAUCGAAUUUCCAAUUCUAAUUUGACAGAUUUACCAACCAUCCCCAUUCGAGUUACCAAAUAAUUUGAAGAUACCAAAUCUUAUUGGAUUGACUUAUCAAUAUUUUUGUGGUUGUUUUCAAAUUAUUAACUUUUAAUUUAGUAGCUUAUUAUGUUUUAAAUUAACAAAUUCUUACAUAAAAUUAUAAACCAUAAUUUCAGUAACUCACAAACUUAACCCAAAUUUGAGUGACAUGCAAACUUUUUUUUGGCGAUUGAUUUCCAUUUAUGUUUGAGUGACUUAUUGAUAUUUACUUGGUUGUGCCGACAAAAGCGCAUUAUUAUAUUGUUUUAAAAUUUCAAACAUUUAUUUGCGUAAAUAUUUAACAACGAUUUAGAGGUACAAACUCUUAUAUCAAACUACUAACUUUGAUACCAAAUUAAUGGCCUUAAUUUGAAUAAUUAACCGACUUUUAUACGAUUGCUUUACCUUCACUUUGUAUUAUUCUUCGUAACCUUUACUUCAUUGUUUCCAAAUUACCAAAUUUUAUCUCCAAUAGAUACUAACAUUUUCAAGCUAAAGUUUUUAUCGAAUUACCAAUCUUAAUUUAACUGACUUGCCAAUUUUUUUCUAAUAAGUUACCAACUAGUUUAAGGUUAUUAACCUCUAUCUGUUUGAUUUAUCUAAGUUUUUUCGAUUAUCUUUAUAAUAAAUAAGAAUGCAUUUACCCACCCCGUUGGUGGCAGAGAUGGUGGAGUUGCAUGCUGGCCACCCGCAAGGCUAGAGUUCAACUCCCCACCUCAUCAUUUGUGCGACUUACCUAUGGCCGUGGGAGGUGGGUCCCUGCGGGUCGCCCCGGGUUUACGCCGCCCACCGCUAGCUAUCGGCUAUACAACCCUUCCUGGGUCACAAAAAAAUAAAAAUAAAUAAGAAUGCAUUUGAUUGUUUCAAAAUUAUUUCAUAAUAAGUAACUUAUCUAUUUGCAUAACUUACUAAUGUUUUGAAUUUAACAACUCUUAUAUCAAAUUGCCAACCUUAAUUUUAGCGGUUUAAGAGGAUUUUCUCAAUUAUUUAUUACUAGAUUUAGGUUGUCAAUUUUUUAUUUUUUUUUUGUUGGUCAAUUCUUAUUUGAGUAACCUAUCAAUAUUUAUUAUGAUGUUCUGACAAAGAGAAAAAGGAAAAAUGAAGUAUAUGAUUCCGACUCUUGUGAUAUCAAUAUUUAUUAUGAUGUUCUUAUUUGAGUAACUUUUAUAUGUAUAAACAAAAAAAUGAGUCCUACCUUGUGGUAUCUAUGAACCUAUAACUUCUUGGGAAGAGAUAGAUGUAUAUGAUCAUCUCAAUGUUUUGCAAAUUUGAUCAUUUUAUUUAGGGGAUAGCUACAGGAUUAUUGUACGAAGGAAUUUGGUUGCGGGAUUAAUUUCUGCUUGCCCUAGCAAUGAGUAUUUCCUCGAAGCCUGGCUAAUAAGACUUAAUCUCACUGGCUAUCUUUUCAAAGCUUUGAUGUUAAUUAGCGUUAGAUGAGAGAAAGAGCACACAUUUUGCGCAUUAAAAGAAUGUAAAAAGCAAAUGAAAUGUGUCUAAUAGAAACAUAAUUAUAAAAUAAUUUCGUCAGUUUACAAAAAUAAUCUUAAAUUAUUCUAUGAUUAGAAAGAUUCAUAUUCUAAUUUAAAAAUAUUAAAGAUUGAAGAAAUUAUCUUGCUUUAAUCGUAUUUUACAUUUGGAUGGCGAUUUGGACAUCAUUCGGUAUUGAGUGAUUGUGAUUUAUCUUUACAACCUACAUGGGUUUUCAUGGAAUAUACUUUUGUUUGGAAACGGCCUUUGAUUUGCUUAAUACUAUGCAAAGAUAACCAGAAAGAGCACACUCUUAUGCAUGUUGAAAAUGACAAGGGAAUUCAUAAAUUUUUUGGGGAGAAAGAGAGUUUUAAGAUGCAAACUAAUUUAGCAGAGAACAUAUGUCUUUAUUUUUGAUUUAUUCUAUCUUUUUUUUAUUGGUUAAAGAGAAUUUGUUGAAAUAAAAAAUUAUUUCAUGUAUAUUUGAAGACAGUUUCUCUAAUUUAUCCAUUUUUCCAAUUUUAAACUCAAGAAAAAACAAAUUUUCUAUAAACUGUUGCUUUAUCCACGUUCUGACAUUUAAAUUAAAGAUAAAAGUUAAGAGAUGAUAAAUAAAUAAGCUAAAAAGCUUACUAGUCAAAUUCGGGCCACAUGGCAAAAUAAUGUCAUGUGUCUUGCCAUGUGGCAAAUGUAGAUGAAAAAAGUUGUGUCACAUGACGAUCACGAAGGCGAGAAUUCUCUCGGCUCUGGCCUUAAUUAUAUAUAAUAGGAGAGGAUUUCGCCUCUUAAUCAAUAUUACAAGAUUGUAAUGCACCAAAGGAUAUUUUAUGGCAUUUAAUGGUAAAAUUUUGAUAUUGAAGUCCUCCUUUGCAUUCAUUUUUUAUUAUAUAGAGAUAAUUGCAUAUGUUAUUAUAUAAUAUAAACAGGGUUAGAAGUGUUUGGACCUAGGGAAAAUUGUCCAAAAAGUUCUAAAUCUAUUGAAUUUUUAUCAAUUCAGUCAUAAACCUUUUAACUUUACCAAUCCAGUCAUAAAUCUUUUCAUUUCUUGCCGAUUCGGCUAGCCAAUUUUGACCAGAAAAUACUGACGUGAACAAUUUUUAAUAAUAUUUUAAUAUUUUUUUGAAUUAUUAUUAUUUUUUCUGUUUUUUCCUUCUUCUUUUUUUUCUUUUCUUGGCCUUUAAAAAUUGUCAAUGUCAACGCCGACAAUCCCACUUGGUACGGCUGGUGCCACAUCAACAUUUUUCGGCCAAAAUUGGCCGUAUAGACUGAAUCGGCAAGAACUGCAAAUGUUUAGGAUUAAAUUGACAAAGUUAAAGGAUUUAUAAUUAAAUUGACAAAAGUAUAAUCGAUUUAUAACUUUUUGGACAAUUUUUCCGUGGACCCAUUACAUAUUGCUCAGUCUAGUUCAACCUUUGGAAUAUAUGCUUUGCAUUUUUAUGCUCUUGUUGGCUCGAUGCAUAUUUUCAAAUUGAAUAGAAAUUUGAAAGAUCUCCGUGUAGUAAAAUAAAAAAGAGAAAUCAUUUUGAUUUGAGGCAAAUCCCUUUUCAAUUUGCCUUAUAAAGUCGUCAUUUAACCCAAAUUUAUUGAAAUGAUUCAUGGGCCACCUCAUUUUUAGCCGGCCUAGCAUAAUGGGUUUUAAAAUGAAAAGCCCAAAACAAAUCAAUUUUUUUUUUUUGUCUAUAAAAUGAAUCAAUUUAAAUGGGUAUAUUAUGAAUCCAACUCACCUUAUAAACAAGGCUCUCUUCAUUCUUCAUAAGAACUUCUACAUUCUUCUAGACCUGACUCUUUUGUCUGUCUCCCACUUCGGUUCCACAGAUUUAACUUGGUAGUGGUCGUGACAUUAAAAUUAAGGAUUAAUAUCAUAAAAAUCUAAAAUUGAUACAUAAGUCAUAAAUUUAUCUCAAAUUAAAUUUUAAUUAUCAAAAAUUCUAAAUUGAUACAUUUAUAACAUAGUUACCCUCAAUUAAUUUUUAUUAAAUUGAAUUAAUAUCACGAAAAAUCACAAAUUUAUAUAUAUGUGACGAAUAUAAAUUAAAAAUCUCAAAUCAAUAUACCUGUCAAUUAUUACGUAUCAUCGAAUUCAGCAAUUUAAUGAUAAAAUUUAAUAAAAAUUAAUUAAAAGUAAAUUUGUCGCGGUGUAUCAGUUUAAGGUUUGUAAUAGUAUUAACCUUUAUAAUUAAUUUUAUAUUUAUUUUAUUAAGAUAGAAUCGGGCCCAGUUCGUGACCGAUCCAUCUCGUCACCCUACCCGAUAGCACGAACAGGGCGACAAAGCAUCGACGACGGGAAGCCUGCUUCUCUUUCUUCCUCUGCUUUGCUCUGCUUUUUGUAUCCAGUCAUCGACCACCUUGCUAGCUUCUAACGUUGAACAGGUGGUUUGUCUUGCCCAAUCUUCUCAGCUUGCGUCUCUCUCUCUCUCUCUUCCCAUCGCUAUUCGGCCGAAUUAUCGACUGUCUCUUCUGGGUUUUCGAGGUGCUUUUGUGGGGACGUGGGAGGAUCUGUGGGCUUGGGUUCUUGAAGUCGGCGUUAGUUGUAUUGAGGGGGGCGGGGCGGGUGGGCGUGUGCUGAUCGGUACUUAUUGCUUGUGUUAAGUCCCGUGCGGCAGUGGGUUGUUGAGGUUUCUGAGGAGUCGAUACGAUGGAUGGCGCUGGAGCUGUGCUUGACAUGGACGAUUGGAGGGCUCAACUGCCGCCCCAGGCACGGCCGAGGAUUCUCAACAAGAUGUGAGUGCUCUUUCCUUUGCUUGGGUUUCAUCGUUAUCGUAGGGAAAAUGUGGAAUUUAUGAUGGAUCAUUGCUUAGGGACGAUUGCCGAGGGUUUAGUAUGUUAAAGUAAUGGUUUUACAAUAUGGUCAUGUUAUUAGUUGAGGCGCAACAUGAAUUCUGAGGUAGCUUUCGCUGUAAUUUUUUUCUCUUAGGAUAGUUUAGUUAAGUCUCAAUAUGGGAUUUAGCGGGUAUGCAGGCCGGUAGCUCUUGUUACAUUGGUGAUUAUAUAAGAUAAGAAGAUGGUUGUAUUUCUUUCUUGAUUGAAAUGGAUUAUCUCCUAUUUUUGUACACAAGCAGGAGGGUUUACCAUAGUAUGUAGAUUAUCAUAGUCGCAGAGGUAAGGGCAUCUGCCUUUCUGGCAGGAGAACAGUUACUGGAUGAUUGGCCUAUUAUGUUUGUGACAGAAAUCUACUCAUCCAGAGCCUAAGGAUUUUUAAGCAUCUUAUUGCUAGUUAGUUGUGUUAUUCUCUAUUAAUCUGGAAUUUGUUUUUCCCCUUUCCAAUUCAAUAGCAUCGCUAUAGUCGUUGUAGGGGUUGAAGGUCCAAAAGUUUUCCACAGAAAACUUAAUCUUCACCUACCUUGAGGUGCAUUGCUUGAACUCCCACCCAUACCACUUGUAAUAGGAGGAGAUGCUGUCGAUGCAUGUGGGUUAGGUAUUGCCAAAAUUAAAUAGGUUUGUGAAUUCUUGAAUGUGUUGUUCUGAAUCAUUUCUCAGUUUGCUUUCUCGUCUGGGAGAAAGCUAUUUGUAAUUUGUUGAACAAUAUGCAACUUGCGCCGGAUUCUUUUAUCUAUUAUCCAUUGGAUUUUAUGACUGUUAGGAUUACGUAAUUUCAGAUCUGUUAUACACUGGAUUUUGUGACCAUCUCUGGCAAACCAUUUCUUCUGAACUUUCAUCCUUUUCUUACCCACUCUCAACUCCUGGCCCUCUUCCAGCCCUUGACCUCUCUGUUUUCCAGCUCUGGCGAGCUCCCUAACCUCCAUUGACCACCCUGAACUCUGGCGAGCCAUUGAUGACGGCCCCCAUUGGCUAUAUAGGCUCUUUUCCUCUUCUUUUAUAUUGUUGUUUGCUUUCUCUGAGAUGUUGAAGACUUUUCCUCUCAUCUUCUUUGCUGCGUGCGAUUGUUGAAGCUGGUUUUGUUGUGAGAGACCUACAAGGUAAAAGGGCUUUUUAUGGAACGAAAAUCUUUUGAGCUUGUGUUAGAGGUGGAAAAGGAGGACUUGUUAAGAGUGACGGAGUAUGCCAGAUGGAGGAGAUUGUCGAUAUACCUCUAUAUUGAGGACUUGAAAUGGUGGAUGGAUUACCAUGCACUUGUAGAACCUGGUAAAACAGGCAUAUGGGGAAUUAGAUGUCGUAGUUGGAAGAAGUACCAACCUUCCAAACAUGUGGUGGCAUUGUAGUGAUGUAGAAUGAGAAAUCAGGCAACUUAGUAGAUUGCUUAGUGGACAAAUUUAGUGUCUCGUGCCUGUUUUGUGGUGCAGAAGUGGGGAAGAGUGGGUGUUUACUGGGGUGUAUGGUCCUGGAGUGGGUAGCACUAGGGGUUCUUUCGGGGAUUAGCUCUCUGAUAUUAAAAGUAAAUGGGGAGUGCGGGGAGAGUUCAACGUGGUAUUGUUUCCACAUGAACCGGAUGGGAUUGGUACUGAAAUAGCUUGCAUGAGGGAAUUUUGGCAGAUCUUAGACACCUUUUGCCUGAUUGGCUUGUUGUUGGUAGGUUGGGAGUAUACUUGGUCCAGGGACUGGGAGAGGCUAUCCUUUUCACGCUUUGAUGGGUUCUCAGUUUCAACAACACGGGAGGAUAUCACCCAAACUCAAGUCAAAAGUUACCUCAAGUGACCUCAGACCACCAUAUAAUUGUGUUAGAGAAUAGAGUUAUUGAAUGGGCCCCCACUCCUUUCCAGUUUGAGAGUGUUUGGCUCAAACUAGAAGAUUUCAAGUAGGUAGUUAUCAGUUACUGGAAGAAUAGUUCUUUCAGGGUGUAGGACAGCUUCACUUUUGCUUCAAAGCUCAUGGGGCUAAGAUAUAUUCUGAAACAUGAAGUCAUGAGAAGGUUGGAAAUAUGGGAAACAAUAUGAAAGAGACAAUUCAAGAAGUUGAAGAGCUUAAGGAUAAGGAGAUCCAAAUGACUUUAAUAGAGGAAGAGCAUUUUAGGAGAAUGGAAUUUAAAGAGCUCUUGCGUUGUUGAUUCAAAUGGAAGAGACCUCCUGGAGACAUAUCUCUUGGGAGAUUUAGCUUGAUGAUGAUGAGAGAAACACAAAGUCCUUUGAAAGAUGGCCAAUGCUCAUUGAAGAUAUAACUUCCUCAGUAAGUUGGAAGUUUUUGGGAUGGCUGUUGAAAUGUAAACGCCAUAGUGUGUGGUUAUCUAGAAUUCUAUGCUGAUUCAUUCAGGGAGAGAUGUUUUGAGAGACCGGAAAUGGAGGCUUCUCUUGAUCCCAAUAUGGUUGAGAUGCUGCAAAUGCCUUUCCAGGGGGAAGAGAUUAGAAGGGUAAUCGUGGAGUGUAAUGGAGAUAAGGCACUAGGUCCUGAUAAAUUUACGUUUAAAUUUUUCGCGAGAAUUGGAGAUUGUUAGCAAUGACCUUCUAAAGGUGUUCCAGAGUAGGGGGCAAGUUUGUAGAUAAUCUUGAUUGUACAUUCUAAAUUCUCAUUCCUAAGGAGCCUGGUGCGACGGAUGUUAAGGAUUUUCAGCCUAUAAGCUUGGUCGGUAGCAUCUUUAAGAUUUUUGCCAUAGUUCUUGCUGGUCAUUUGAAAAGGUUCUAGCUCACCUGGUGGGAUCUUUUCAAGACAGUUUUGUGGAAGCUCGUCAAACAUUGGAUGCUAUUCUUACUGCCAAUGGUCUGGAGGAAGGAAAAGCAGGAGUGCUUUGCAAAUUGGACAUGGAGGAGGCCUAUGAUCAGGGAUCAGGGGAGUAAUGUAUGUGUAAAGAAGAAUGUAUUUCUUCUUUUGUUGUUUGUGUUGGUGACCAAUGGUGGAGAUGGAUUUCGAAAUGCAUUUCUUCACUGAUUUUCCUGCUUAUGGUGAAUGGCAGUCCAAGAGGUCUCUUCAAGUAUUCUAGAGAUUUAAGGCAGUCCUCUGUUACUUUUGUUGUUUGUAUUGGUUUUUAAAGUGUUGAGCAAGAUGCUGAUUAAAGUUAUUGACGAAGGUUAGAUUGGUGGUUUCACGAUUGACAAUGCUUGUAAUGAAGAUUCCAUGUUUCUUUUUUCAUUUGCGGAUGACGUCAUAUUUUUCUUGAAGGACGACAUCAAACAAAUUUUACACUUAGAAGCAUACUGUUAUGUUUUGAAGCUGUCUCAGGACUGAAAGUGAAUUUGGGAAAAGAAUGAAAUAAUCCUGUGGGCGAGAAUGUAAAUUUGCAAGAAAUGUCUGGGAGUAGUGGUUAUAAGUUUGCCAGCAUACCUAUGGAGUACUAGGGUUGCAGUUGGGAUGCACUUACAAAGCAAAAGCUGCGUGUAAUCUGAUGAUACAAAGAUUUGAGAAGAGUUUAAGUAGGUGGAUGAUGGCUUUUUUGUCCAUGGGAUGUAGACUUAUGUAGAUGAAGCAUGCACUUUUUAAUCUUCUGGUUUACUUUAUUUCUUUGUUUCCAAUCCCUAUUUCAGUGGGAAAAAGACUCGAGAGCAUGCAAAAAAAGUUUCUUCAGGGAUAUUGGGAUGAUAAUCCGGGAUUUCAUUUAGUUGAUAGGGGUAUUGUAACACAAGCUGUUUCUAAUGGGGGAGUUGGGGGUAAAGUCAUUGGUUCUUGUAUGUAAAGCUUUGCUUCGACAAUGAUUGUGGAGAUUUAAUGGGGAGAAAACUAGCCCUUGGAGGAUGGCACUAGUUGCAAAAUUUGGUUUGGAAGAUUCAGAGUGGAUAAGAAAGCCUAGUCGAGGAGCGCAAGGGGUUGGGCUAUGGAAGCACAUUAGGUAAGGAUGGGAUUCUUUCAAAUAAAGACUUUCUAUUAGAAUGGGAAAUGGUAGGCAUACUAUGUUGCAUGAUGACAUCUGGUAUGGAGACACUGCUUUCAAAGACUUCUUCCUGGAUGCAUGUGCACUAGCAAGAAACUAGAUGGUUAGGGUGGCCGAUUGUUGAAAGACUGACAAUGGAGAAACAAUGUGGUAAAGUAAUAUCUUACGUAGGGCUCAAGAUUAGAAGCCCAAAGCUUCUCAAUUUUUUUUGAGUUGUUGUAUCGAGCAAUGUUAGAUGUGAGGACGAUAAGCUACGGUGGAAUUGUUGUACCUCUGGAACUUUUUCUGUCAAAUCCUACUAUUCCGAUCUCUCUUCUUGCAAUUACAACAGAGCACACUCUUCCUAUGGAAAUGUAUUUGGAAAGUCAUGGUUCCUUUGAAGGUUUCAUUUUUUGCUUGGCAAGCUGCUUGGGGAUGUAUUCUUACUUCAGAUAAUCUCUAGAAGAGAGGAAAAAUACUGGCCAAUAGGUUCUUUUUGUGCAAGACUGAAGAGAGAGCAUGAACCGCUUACUUUUAUGUUGGAGCUGGACCAGAAAGAUUAGGGCUACAGUUUUUGCAAUUUUAGGAGUAAAUUGAUUGACCUUGGGCACAGUGUGACAUUAACUUUGGGCUUGGAGAGGGACUUUCAGUUUGUGUGUCGGAAAGAAACAGAUUGCUAAGAUGAUUCCUCUUGUCUUUUGGCUCAUUUCUUCACUUUUGGUAUAGUAGGAAAGUUCAAUUUCAUACAUUUAGUUUGUUGGAAAUGCUACAAAGUCUUCUGUGCAUUAUUUUGUAUGUGGUUUGGCUUCUAUUAUAAGCCAUUUUGUAGGGGAAGUACCCCCUCGGUACUUCUUGAUGAAAUCUUAUUUAUCUUUGAGAAAAAAAAUUAUUGGCCAGAAAUAAUUUCAGCUGAAGUGCAAGUCUCUUUUGGUACGCAGAUUGGAGACUUUGCUGAGACAUCAUCCUGUUUCUAAUCGAGAAGGUUUGCAAGAACUCAAUAAAAUUGCCUUGAGGAUUGAGGGAAAUUUUUACACUGCUGCAACAAGCCAGGUAUUAUUUGAUGUCCAUGUCCACUACGUGCAUCUCAUUCUCUUUGCUCUUGUCUUUAAUUGCUUUUUAUGAAGUGGCUCUUGGAGCUAGUGCUUGCUUAUUUUGUGUGAAGUUUCUAUGUGGAUAGAGGAUGCAUAAACAAACUGGAUACGCUUUUGCUUAAAAAUCUUUUAGAAGCUUUUUUUUAUUCUUAUAAUCUGUCAAGAAUUUCUAUGAUUUGUGCAUUUAUAUGGUAACUGGAACUGUUUAAAUAUUAAAAUAUAGCUUUGCACCAGUGAGAUCAGGUUUGCUCAGUGCUGUGAUAUUGUACUUAAGUUUUAAGUUGCAGUUUUAAAUUGAUAUCUGCUUCAUUUUCUUUCUAAUUUGAUUAUUUAAUUUGUUUGGUCUGUUAUGAAGUAAUUUAAUGAUUUCUGCUUCCUUUCCCUUUUAGUCCGAUUAUUUAAGGAAGAUAUCUUUGAAGAUGUUGACAAUGGAGACAAAGGCUCAGAAUACCAGACCUUAUGCGCUGCCAUCUAACACUGCUGGGAAUAGCUGUGAGGACUCGGGUACAACUUGAGUCCCUGUUACUUGAUACCAUUGAUGUAGGAGUUAAAAUUUCCGUUUUGUUAUCCCUUUAUAUAUUUACAGAUAUGUAUCAUUCUUCUUACACGUAUUUUCAUUUAUGUACUACUAUUUUCCUUUUUUGGUAUAUUGUUUUUGGGGGACUACAGCAGGAGUCCUAAAAUUUUUGACAGUCGUCCACUUUUGCUCAUUAGUUAGCUCUUUUAGGUUUUAGUUGACGGAAAAUCUACGUGGCAUUUUACCGAAAAAAAAAAAAAAAAUCUACGUGGCAUUUUUUUUUUAUUAACAGCCACGUUGGAUUAAAAGAUAAUAAAAGAAGUCAUGUGGUAUCUUCCGUCCCCUAAAAAUUGACGAGUGAACGAAAUGACUCAAGUGCAUUGACUGUUCAAAAUUUGUUUUGACUUAAAUGCAUGAAUAGAAAGUUUUAGGAGUUCAAGCACAUUAGCAUGACAAAAAUAGGAAUUGGCCCUGGAAUUGUCCUUUUUUGGGGCUUUACAUAGUACACAUUUGUAUACCCACUACAACAGGUUGGGGGGAUUUCGAUUUUCUACCCUGAAGUCAAUUUCUUUUUCCAAUCUUCCUUAUUUGUAACCUCAAAUGCACAUUUAUACCAUGUGCAGUGGCACAUUUGAAUUUCUUUGUUUCAUUUGGAACCUAUUGAUUUAAAAAUGGGUAGAUCUUUGUUUUUUUUUUUCUUCAAUCAGAUAUGCAUUUGUGAAGUUCAAGUUUUUCUAAGCGUGGUAGCAAGCUUCAGUUUAGCUAGAAAGGGCCAUAUGUUUGCAUCUUUUGUAACUUCCUCCCACUUCUUUGUCUCAAAUUUUCUUUUUUAGAAGUGACUGUCUCUGAUGGCCUUGGAGGAUGCAUGCUUGCCAAAGAUGAUUCACUUUUCUCUUUAUGUUUUUGUUUUCUUUAAUAUUUCAAGAUUAAUUCAAGUACAUGCACUUCACAAAGAUUUUUAUUUAGUACUUGCUGAAAAGAAAAAGAGAGUAAUUUUUUGUCAUUUUUUGCAUAUCCAUUAUCCAUCUAGAAUCGCUUGCUCAGAAAGUUUCAAGUUGGAGUAAUUACAUAGGGCUCUAAAGGUUGUCCUCGGUGUGCAUCUAUCCCUCAUUCCUUUCAUCUUCUUGUGCUAUUUGCAGUUAAUGCUGCUAUGCAUGUAUUGAUAAGUUUUUUUGAUUCACUAACAUGUAGAUUUUGUAUGUUAUCUCGAGUUAUCCAUCCACAAAUUCAAAGCCAAAGCCAACCAAUUCCUAAUGCCUUAGCUGUGGAUCAGCCUCAAGCAGGUCAACAGUAGUUGGUUUGGAAUACUCAGAAUAAUUUUUCCUUCGCUUCCGCCUGGUCAGGCCAGCCCAUUAAUCAAAUAAGUCUGCCUCCACUCCAAAUCAAAUCUCUCUCUCUCUCUCUUCCUUGUUUUCUCUCUUGCCUCUUCCUCUUGGGCAAUUUUCUCUGCAAAUUAUUACACUUUAGUGGACUUUGUCACUCUCUUGCUCUUUAAAUUUUUGACUCUCUUCAACCGUCUCCAUUCCCUAAUGAUGUGUUUGGUAACAUUUCUGUUUCUGAGAACAAUUUUUUUCAGAAAUAGUUUUUUUUUAUUUUUUUUAUUUCUACUCUCCGGAAUAGUUUCUGAGUGAAACAAUGCAUUUGGUAACUGAAAAAAUUUCUAUUAUUAGAAUAGAAAAAGAACAUGAAUGCGUUUAGUAGAACGUACAAGUUUUUUUGUGAUGUAAAAUAUAUUUUAAUUUUUUAAUAUUUUUUGAUAUUUUUGUGAUAUUUUUUUGAUAUUUUUUUGAUAUAUUUUUUUUCCCUCUCUUCUUCUUUCUCCACCAGCCGCUGGCGGGUGGUGAGGAAGAAGAAAAGAACAAAAAGCAAAGAAAGAAAAUAACUUAUUUCUAGAAAUUGUUUCUAAAAAUAAGAAGCUACUUUUUUCUACUUCUGUUACAAAUCUAUUCCCUGACCACUUAGAAAAAUUAACUGACGUUAUUUCUUACCUUUUACCAAAAAUAAAAAAUAAAAAAAAAAUUAACUGACGUUACCAAAUUGAUUUUUGUUCUUUUUCUAUUUUAGAAAGCAAAAGAACAAAAAAACAGAGGAAUAGAAAUGUUCCCAUGAAGAGCCUAAGUAGCCUCAAGCUUUUCUCUAGGGUUUUAGAUCUCUAUCCUUCACAAGCUCUCUCUGUUUGCUCUUCAAUUUUUUUUUCUUGAAGAAAUGCCAGAAGACAUUUUGGGGUUUAGUUAAUUUCCUUUUGUGCUGAUCAGAGUUUAUAUAGUCAUCUCCUCACAUUUCUUGCCAACCUUACUCUUCAUCAUUAUCAGCAGGCAAAGGCAAAAUCUUGAAGACUCCUCUAUCCAUGGCCAGUAUCAACAAUGGACUUCGCCAUCAGAAACGUGCACGAUUACCUCCUUCCAAUCAAAAUGAAACCCAGAAUCCAGUGGAUUACAUCAGCAAAUUGCCCAAUGACAUAAUCGUUCAUAUUUUCUCCUUCUUGACUACAAAAGAUGCCGUCAAAACUAGCGUCUUGUCCAAGCAAUGGCGUUCCA
This 16111-nucleotide long non-coding RNA is filed under the name Eucalyptus grandis. RNAcentral describes it as "long non-coding RNA (EGRA_LNC003182)". The record is from RNAcentral. Lineage: Eukaryota; Viridiplantae; Streptophyta; Magnoliopsida; Myrtales; Myrtaceae.